CUUAAUAUUUCCUAAAAAAUAUCCUUGUGGAAUAAGGAUAUCCUGGUGGAACAAAUAGUAUAAAGGACUCUCAUGUUACUGAAAAGCUUUGUAAAUUCAGUACAGUGGACACAGUUAGUCUUAACUCUCUCUAGCAUGUUCUCUUCCUUCUUAGAUCUUUGUUAAUUGACCAUCAUUUUGUUUCACAGCAUAGACAUACAUUAUGUUACUAUUUGUUGAAAACAGAAAAACAGUAUUAUAAUAACCUCCUGGAGUAAAAAAAAAAAAAAAAAGAAACAGAGAAAUAAAUAUAUUCCCAAAACUGUCACAAAAAUAUUUUGUAUGCGAAAAAGGACUUUUUUUUUUAAGAUUUCUAAUCAUUUUUAAUCUUGUCAGUGAAAUCUUUACUUAGGAGUGCUCACUUUUUACUAAGCUAAUCCUAAAUUAUUAGGCAAGUUAAAAACUUGGACAGGGCAGGAAGGAAAUUAAGAAAUUACAAAGAUGCAUUUAGAGCCAAAUAUUGUAAACACUGACCAGUAGAUCAUAUGUGUG
This 531-nucleotide long non-coding RNA is filed under the name Bos taurus (domestic cattle). Its description in RNAcentral is "long non-coding RNA NONBTAT019430". The record is from RNAcentral. Lineage: Eukaryota; Metazoa; Chordata; Mammalia; Artiodactyla; Bovidae.